CCUACGGGUGGCAGCAGUGAGGAAUAUUGGUCAAUGGGCUUACGCCUGAACCAGCCAAGUCGCGUGAGGGAAGACUGCCCUAUGGGUUGUAAACCUCUUUUGUCAGGGAGCAACGCCGGCUACGUGUAGCCGGACUGAGAGUACCUGAAGAAAAAGCAUCGGCUAACUCCGUCCCAGCCGCCGCGGUAAGACGGGGGAUGCGAGCGUUCGCCGUAUUUAUUGGGUUAAAGGGGUGCGUAGGCGGAAUGCCAAGUCAGCGGUAAAAUCGCGGGGCUCAACCUCGCGCCGCCGUUGAAACUGGCGAUCUUGAGUGGGCGAGAAGUAUGCGGAAUGCGUGGUGUAGCGGUGAAAUGCAUAGAUAUCACACAGAACACCGAUUGCGAAGGCAUCUCACGAAUCCGCGAUUGACGCUGAUGCACGAAAGCGUGGGUAUCAAACAGGAUUAGAUACCCCAGUAGUC
RNAcentral lists this ribosomal RNA (460 nucleotides) under uncultured bacterium. RNAcentral's name for it is "partial 16S ribosomal RNA". It matches the Rfam family "Bacterial small subunit ribosomal RNA", at positions 338 to 795 of the family's 1533-position model. The record is from RNAcentral.